RNAcentral lists this ribosomal RNA (386 nucleotides) under uncultured bacterium. Its description in RNAcentral is "bacterial SSU rRNA". It matches the Rfam family "Bacterial small subunit ribosomal RNA", at positions 28 to 416 of the family's 1533-position model. The record is from RNAcentral.
GACGAACGCUGGCGGCGUGCUUAACACAUGCAAGUCGAACGCUGAAGCCCUUUUUGGGUGGAUGAGUGGCGAACGGGUGAGUAACACGUGAGUAACCUGCCCUUCACUUUGGGAUAACCUUCGGAAACGGGGGCUAAUACUGGAUAUGACUCAUGGCCGCAUGGUUGUGGGUGGAAAGAUUCUUUUGGUGGGGGAUGGGCUCGCGGCCUAUCAGCUUGUUGGUGGGGUGAUGGCCUACCAAGGCGACGACGGGUAGCCGGCCUGAGAGGGCGACCGGCCACACUGGGACUGAGACACGGCCCAGACUCCUACGGGAGGCAGCAGUGGGGAAUGUCGCACAAUGGGCGCAAGCCUGAUGCAGCGACGCCGCGUGGGGGAUGACGGCC